UCCCUUCAACUACAGUAUCUCUGUGGGACCAAAAAAGUCUGUUUGCAUAGUGAGGAUACUUUGCAUUGGCAGCACAUGCUUCAGUGCUCUGGGAGUGUUUAUAGCCCUGUGAGUUUAACACUUAACGACUGAGAGCUGUCCUUCAUGACAACAGAACCCACAACAACCAUGACUUUUAUCACCAUCUUCAUCUGGAUACUGGCACUCUGCUUUCAAGAAUCCAGAGGACAGAUCACUGUGACUCAGACUCCUGUAGUGAAAGCUGUUCUCCCAGGACAGUCAGUCUCUCUGAACUGUAAAACCAGCAGUAAUGUGCAUGUGAAUGUGAAUGGAAAUAACCGUCUAGCCUGGUAUCAACAGAAAGCUGGAGGAGCUCCUAAACUCCUUAUUUACUAUGCUACAACACUUCAGUCUGGGACUCCAUCUAGAUUCAGUGGUAGUGGAUCUGGGAGUGACUUCACUCUGACCAUCAGUGGAGUCCAGGCUGAAGAUGCAGGAGAUUACUACUGUCAGAGUUUCCACAAUCCCAACAGUGUCUGGGUGUUCACACAGUGAUACAGAGCCGUACAAAAACCUCCCUCAGUCAGACUGUACACUGACUGUACUGAUACAGCUGAGACCUACUGCAGGUGCUGAGGAGGAAGAGACAGUGACAUGGAACACUGACUGAACUAAAAUACACUGAGCUAAAUAUGUCAGUGAUGCUGACAUUAUGUCAACUCUUUCACCCUCAUGCUAAAGCAUUCCUGAACUGAUAACACUCACAGGUCCAGACUACAUAAAUAUUACUUCCCUGUUGCUAUGGCCAACAAACGUUUUCAUAACAUGUCACACAAUAAGUUGAAUGGACUCCAUCUAUAUGCAAUAGUAAUGUCUCACAUAAUUUCAGAAUAAAUGACCUAGCUUAUGUAAGGUCCCUCAGUCAGUUAUAAAUGUGGGUGCUAACCAGGAAGAUGAUUAACUUUUUUUAUUAUUCUGGAAAAUACCAUAAGCUUAUUUGAUUAGUGAUGAUCCUCUGCAUUGGCAGCACAUGUUUCAGUGCUCUGGGAGUGUUUAUAUCCCUGUGAGUUUAUCACUUCAUGACUUAGAGCUGUCCUUCAUGACAACAGAACCCACAACAACCCUGACUUUUUUCACCAUCUUCAUCUGGACACUUGCUGUCACGUUCUGACCUUUAUUUCCUUUGUUUUGUCAUGAUUUAGUAUGGUCAGGGUGUGAGUUUGGGUGGGCAGUCUAUGUUUGUUUUUCUAUGAUUUGGGUAUUUCUAUGUUUCGGCCUGGUAUGGUUCUCAAUCAGAGGCAGGUGUCAUUAGUUGUCUCUGAUUGAGAAUCAUAUUUAGGUAGCCUGGGUUUCACUGUUUGUUUGUGGGUGUUUGUUUCCGUGUCUGUGUUUUUUCACCACACGGUACUGUUUUGGUUUUCGUUCGGUUCACGGUUAUUGUUUUUGUAUCAGUUGUGUUCAUGUUGAGUAUUUCUUAUUAAAAGAACCAUGGAAACUUA
Oncorhynchus keta (chum salmon) is the source of this 1499-nucleotide non-coding RNA. The record is from the annotation of a RefSeq genome assembly. Lineage: Eukaryota; Metazoa; Chordata; Actinopteri; Salmoniformes; Salmonidae.